This is a regulatory RNA element of Bacillus cereus ATCC 14579, 115 nucleotides long. It matches the Rfam family "PyrR binding site". Rfam says of the family: This family represents the PyrR binding site and terminator structure. This RNA structure is found upstream of a variety of genes involved in pyrimidine biosynthesis and transport. NCBI's taxonomy places the organism in Bacteria, Bacillati, Bacillota, Bacilli, Caryophanales, Bacillaceae. The record is from Rfam.
AAGCCCUUUUAAAUGUAGUCCUGUGAGGCUGCCAAAGGGUCUUGGCUUUCAUAUGUCAAAUUUGGCAUAAGAAAGUGUAGGACUCUUUGUGCACAGGCACAAAGAGUUUUUUUUU